This 495-nucleotide ribosomal RNA is filed under the name uncultured bacterium. Its description in RNAcentral is "partial 16S ribosomal RNA". It matches the Rfam family "Bacterial small subunit ribosomal RNA", at positions 28 to 507 of the family's 1533-position model. The record is from RNAcentral.
GACGAACGCUGGCGGCGUGCCUAAUACAUGCAAGUAGAACGCUGAAGGAGGAGCUUGCUUAUCUGGAUGAGUUGCGAACGGGUGAGUAACGCGUAGGUAACCUGCCUGGUAGCGGGGGAUAACUAUUGGAAACGAUAGCUAAUACCGCAUAAUAGUAGAUGUUGCAUGACAUUUGCUUAAAAGGUGCAAUUGCAUCACUACCAGAUGGACCUGCGUUGUAUUAGCUAGUUGGUGGGGUAACGGCUCACCAAGGCGACGAUACAUAGCCGACCUGAGAGGGUGAUCGGCCACACUGGGACUGAGACACGGCCCAGACUCCUACGGGAGGCAGCAGUAGGGAAUCUUCGGCAAUGGACGGAAGUCUGACCGAGCAACGCCGCGUGAGUGAAGAAGGUUUUCGGAUCGUAAAGCUCUGUUGUAAGAGAAGAACGAGUGUGAGAGUGGAAAGUUCACACUGUGACGGUAUCUUACCAGAAAGGGACGGCUAACUACGUG